Molecule: ribosomal RNA, 468 nt
Filed under: Tubeufia africana
Lineage: Eukaryota; Fungi; Ascomycota; Dothideomycetes; Tubeufiales; Tubeufiaceae
Description: Xenosporium africanum partial 28S ribosomal RNA
Rfam family: Eukaryotic large subunit ribosomal RNA
Source: RNAcentral
UGUAAUUUGUAGAGGAUGCUUCGGCUUACGUCUCGGUCUAAGUUCCUUGGAACAGGACGUCACAGAGGGUGAGAAUCCCGUUUGUGGCCGCGACUUCUGCCAUGUGAAGCUCCUUCGACGAGUCGAGUUGUUUGGGAAUGCAGCUCUAAAUGGGAGGUAUAUUUCUUCUAAAGCUAAAUAUUGGCCAGAGACCGAUAGCGCACAAGUAGAGUGAUCGAAAGAUGAAAAGCACUUUGGAAAGAGAGUUAAAAAGUACGUGAAAUUGUUGAAAGGGAAGCGUUUGCGACCAGACUUGCCUGCGGAUGCUCAACCGGUCCUUCGGCCGGUGCACUCUUCCGCAGUCAGGCCAGCAUCAGUUCGAGUAGCCAGAUAAAGGCUUUGGGAAUGUAGCUCUCUUCGGGGAGUGUUAUAGCCCUUUGUACAAUAUGGUUCACUUGGACUGAGGCCCGCGCUUCGGCUAGGAUGCUG